This 496-nucleotide ribosomal RNA is filed under the name uncultured bacterium. Its description in RNAcentral is "bacterial SSU rRNA". It matches the Rfam family "Bacterial small subunit ribosomal RNA", at positions 28 to 537 of the family's 1533-position model. The record is from RNAcentral.
GACGAACGCUGGCGGCGUGCCUAACACAUGCAAGUCGAGCGGGGUUGAAGCGAGAGGUAACUCGAACUUCUACCUAGCGGCGGACGGGUGAGUAACGCGUGGGCAACCUGCCUCAAGGUCUGGGAUAACAGCCCGAAAGGGCUGCUAAUACCGGGUAUGCUUGUGGCCUCGCAUGGGGCUAUGAGCAAAGGGGAAACCCGCCUUGAGAUGGGCCCGCGUCCCAUCAGCUAGUUGGUGAGGUAACAGCUCACCAAGGCGACGACGGGUAGCCGGCCUGAGAGGGUGACCGGCCACACUGGGACUGAGACACGGCCCAGACUCCUACGGGGGGCAGCAGUGGGGGAUCUUGCACAAUGGGCGAAAGCCUGAUGCAGCGACGCCGCGUGAGCGAAGAAGGCUCGGUUGUAAAGCUCUGUCUGAGGGACGAAGGAAGUGACGGUACUCCGGAGGAAGCGACGGCUACUACGUGCCAGCAGCCGCGUAAGUCUCGUCUCUA